RNAcentral lists this long non-coding RNA (207 nucleotides) under Calidris pugnax (ruff). Its description in RNAcentral is "lncRNA (ENSCPUG00000010858.1)". Lineage: Eukaryota; Metazoa; Chordata; Aves; Charadriiformes; Scolopacidae. The record is from RNAcentral.
UGGAGAAAACACUUGCUGUAACUCCUAGCAGAAGCAGACCAUAGACAAUCCCAAACUGCAGGCAGGGAAGCGGGAAGGCAGCUGCACAUCUCCGUCAUGGCUGAGGGCACUGUUAAUUGAAUUUGUGCCAAGUGACACAAAUCCCUUACCUGAUCAGCAACUGACUGGAUGGAGGUGACCGUGAUGAGCUGGCUAUACCUGGGCUGC